AGAGUUUGAUUCUGGCUCAGGAUGAACGCUGGCGGCGUGCCUAACACAUGCAAGUCGAGCGAAGCACUUUGAUUGGAUUCUUCGGAUGAAGAUGAUUGUGACUGAGCGGCGGACGGGUGAGUAACGCGUGGGCAACCUGCCUUACACAGGGGGAUAACAGUUAGAAAUGACUGCUAAUACCGCAUAAGACCGCGGAACCGCAUGGUUCUGAGGUAAAAACUCCGGUGGUGUAAGAUGGGCCCGCGUCUGAUUAGGUAGUUGGUGAGGUAACGGCUCACCAAGCCGACGAUCAGUAGCCGACCUGAGAGGGUGACCGGCCACAUUGGGACUGAGACACGGCCCAGACUCCUACGGGAGGCAGCAGUGGGGAAUAUUGCACAAUGGGGGAAACCCUGAUGCAGCGACGCCGCGUGAGCGAUGAAGUAUUUCGGUAUGUAAAGCUCUAUCAGCAGGGAAGAAAAUGACGGUACCUGACUAAGAAGCCCCGGCUAACUACGUGCCAGCAGCCGCGGUAAUACGUAGGGGGCAAGCGUUAUCCGGAUUUACUGGGUGUAAAGGGAGCGUANACGGUCCUGCAAGCCAAAUGUGAAAGCCCGGGGCUCAACCCCGGGACUGCAUUUGGA
Molecule: ribosomal RNA, 623 nt
Filed under: uncultured bacterium
Lineage: Bacteria
Description: bacterial SSU rRNA
Rfam family: Bacterial small subunit ribosomal RNA
Source: RNAcentral